This 491-nucleotide ribosomal RNA is filed under the name uncultured bacterium. RNAcentral's name for it is "partial 16S ribosomal RNA". It matches the Rfam family "Bacterial small subunit ribosomal RNA", at positions 29 to 507 of the family's 1533-position model. The record is from RNAcentral.
GUGCACGCUGGCGGUCGGCCUAACCCAUGCAAGUCGCACGGCAGCACAGUAAGAGCUUGCUCUUACGGGUGGCGAGUGGCGGACGGGUGAGGAAUACAUCGGAAUCUACUUUUUCGUGGGGGAUAACGUAGGGAAACUUACGCUAAUACCGCAUACGACCUACGGGUGAAAGCAGGGGAUCUUCGGACCUUGCGCGAUUGAAUGAGCCGAUGUCGGACUAGCUAGUUGGCGGGGUAAAGGCCCACCAAGGCGACGAUCCGUAGCUGGUCUGAGAGGAUGAUCAGCCACACUGGAACUGAGACACGGUCCAGACUCCUACGGGAGGCAGCAGUGGGGAAUAUUGGACAAUGGGCGCAAGCCUGAUCCAGCCAUACCGCGUGGGUGAAGAAGGCCUUCGGGUUGUAAAGCCCUUUUGUUGGGAAAGAAAAGCAGCAGGUUAAUACCCCGCUGUUCUGACGGUACCCAAAGAAUAAGCACCGGCUAACUUCGUG